UACGAAGGGUGCUAGCGUUGUUCGGAAUCACUGGGCGUAAAGCGCGCGUAGGCGGCUUUGCAAGUCAGGGGUGAAAUGCCAAGGCUUAACCUUGGAACUGCCUUUGAAACUGCUGAGCUGGAGUGUCGGAGGGGAUAGCGGAAUUCCUAAUGUAGUGGUGAAAUACGUAGAUAUUAGGAGGAACACCGGUGGCGAAGGCGGCUAUCUGGACGACAACUGACGCUGAGGCGCGAAAGCGUGGGGAUCAAACAGG
Molecule: ribosomal RNA, 253 nt
Filed under: uncultured bacterium
Lineage: Bacteria
Description: partial 16S ribosomal RNA
Rfam family: Bacterial small subunit ribosomal RNA
Source: RNAcentral